Theobroma cacao (cacao) is the source of this 2343-nucleotide RNA transcript. It is a transcript of the gene named alpha/beta-Hydrolases superfamily protein, with no coding region annotated. The record is from RefSeq and is a predicted model, not a curated record. NCBI's taxonomy places the organism in Eukaryota, Viridiplantae, Streptophyta, Magnoliopsida, Malvales, Malvaceae.
UUGAACUCGUCUGAAUGAAUGAUUGAUGAACCCAGAGAAAGCUAUGAGUGGAGGAGGAUUGGUGUUUCAGUUCCAUUUCCAGUUUCAGCAUAGUAUAGUAAAUGGAAUUGUCAUUGGCAGCAACAACCAAAGCUGUCAAACGUUUGCUUCCUCCAAUUCCCAUUCCAAACGCAGGUGUCCAACUCUUGCAACAACUAUCACCCAUGCCUUUCCUCUCUCCGGCUCCGGCUCCGGCUCCGGCGCCGAAUAUCCGUAUGCUUCCUCCAAUUCCCAUUCCGAACGCAGGUGUCCAACUCUUGCAACAACUAUCACCCAUGCCUUUUCUCUCCCCGGCUCCGGCUCCGGCGCCGAAUAUCCUGCAGGAGAAUUAAUGGACGCCAGUAGGAAGCAGCAAAAGAAGAGAAUAGCAGGCAUUGAUCAAGAUGAAUUGUUGGAUCCAAAACUCCUAGCUGAUCCAGACAGUUGCUUUUGUGAGUUUAGAGGGGUUGAAAUCCAUCACAAGCUUUAUGACGCACAGUCAUAUUCUUCAGAUAACUCCUUGCUCAGCCACAGCCAGGAUGCCCAGGACCAGAGCCCAACCCCAUCCUUGAAGCUCGGUCUUCCUCUGGUUCUGCUACAUGGUUUUGGAGCUUCUGUUUUCUCAUGGAACAAAGUUAUGAAGCGCUUGGCACACCUCACAGGCUCCAAAGUGCUUGCCUUUGAUAGACCAGCCUUUGGCUUGACAUCAAGACUCAAUACUUUUGGGACCAAAAUUAGUGAUGCAAAACCUCUGAAUCCCUACUCCAUGGCGUUUUCUGUGCUUGCUACCUUGUACUUCAUUGAUUUCUUGGCUGCUGAAAAGGCAAUUCUGGUGGGGCAUUCAGCUGGUUCUCUUGUCGCACUUGAUGCAUAUUUUGAAGCUCCUGAACGUAUUGCUGCUCUGAUCUUUGUUGCCCCAGCGAUAUUGGCUCCACUUGCUAUUCCCAAGAUUGUUGAAGGAGACCUCUCUGAAAGAAAUAACCAGACUAAACGAGACAGGUCAGACUCAAAUAAUCUAGGGAAGCCGCUGUUUAAGGUUUUUGAAAUUUUGUCCAAGUUUACCAAGUAUGUCACAGAGGCAAUAAUGCAAAUGAUAAAGAGGAUGGGAGGUGUGCUCAACUCUCUGUAUAAGAAAGCACUUUCUUCUAUUCUUCGAUCUGCCUUGGGUGUAAUGCUGGUAAGGAUGAUAAUUGAUAAAUUUGGUGUUGCUGCUGUAAGGACUGCAUGGUACGAUUCAAAACAAGUCAACGAACACAUCGUAGAUGGGUAUAUCAAGGUUACACCAACAUUUGUAUCCUAUGCAGCCACUGAGAGCUAAGGAUUGGGAUAGGGCUCUUGUAGAAUUCACAGCAGCAAUGCUUAUAAAUGGCAAGUCCGAAAUGAAGCCACCACUGGCAAAAAGACUUCACGAAAUUUCCUGUCCUGUUCUGAUUGUCACGGGUGACACUGAUCGAAUAGUUCCUGCUUGGAAUGCUAAGAGACUUUCACGGGCCAUCCCUCAAUCUAAGCUUGAAGUAAUAAAGAAUUGUGGACACUUGCCCCACGAAGAAAAGGCUGAAGAGUUUGUUAGAGUUGUUGAGAAGUUUCUGCAAAGAGCAUUUGGUGGUUCAGAGGAGCAUUCUCUACAAGCAAUAACUUGAAACUUGUUCACCUCUUAUUAAACAUGUUAUUAUGGUUAAAGGCAGAAAUUUCUGGUUGAUUCCCCUUCCCCAAUCUUGCAUUUGGAUUUGGAGGAAAACUAAGAAGCUUUGAUCUACUGCUAUUCCUCUUAUUAAACAUGUUAUUGACAAUGGUAGGAGAACAAUUUUUUGGAUUGACAACUGGCACUCUCAAGGUCCCCUUUUGCAUCUUUAUUCCAGCAGCAUUAUGUUAGCUAGUGGUCUUUCUAAGGAAGCCUGGGUAGAUAACGUUAUCAGAAACAAUUCCAGGCAUUGGCCUCAAACUUGUUUCUCAACUCUCCAAGAUAUUCAAACAGCUACUGAUGGGAUUCCUUCUCCUGAUUUUCAACAAGCUGACUCCCUAUUUGUGUGGCAUCAAAGUGUCGUCAAUUCACCGUUACCAAGACUUGGAAAUAUUUGAGACAUAAUCAGGACCAAGUUUCUUGGCAUAAACGCAUCCAUUUUCAUUCUGACAUUCCUACACACUCUUCUAUUGCUUGUUUAUGCAUCCUUGAUAGGCUACUACUUAUCACGCCUAUAUAAUUAGGGGAUUUCUUUGCAAUCUACAACAUGUUACCUGUGUGACAAUUCUGAAGACUGCAGAUAUCAUAUAAUUUUUACUUGGUUCUUAUUCUUAUGAAAUCUGGUCUGCCAUUUUUUAUGUCUA